RNAcentral lists this long non-coding RNA (743 nucleotides) under Numida meleagris (helmeted guineafowl). RNAcentral's name for it is "lncRNA (ENSNMEG00000022712.1)". The record is from RNAcentral. Lineage: Eukaryota; Metazoa; Chordata; Aves; Galliformes; Numididae.
AAGCUGCCCCAGAGCUCACCAUCUUGCACAAACACUUACGCAUUUGUUCCUUCCCUUCUCAGAUUCCUCUGUCUGGUUGGUAUUGGCAGCUGGAUUAUCAAGAUGUCUUGAGAAAGUACUUCUGCAAGUAUUUUUCAUGUAAUCAAAGCCGUUAGCACUGAAAUAUCUUCCUCAGAAAGGAUUCUCCUGUGCUGGUUUCCUUUGUCAUCCUUCUUAAAGCACCAAUUUGCCAAAUACCAGGACAGAGAGAACUAUGCUGUCAACUUUCCACUUACCAAUAUAACGAAUAGGAUCCUGCGUUAACAGGCCCACAGGUCUGAUUCAGCAAGGAAAUUACUGUGUCCCUGUAUCCUUUUAAUUGUAGGUUUGAAAACCAAAGCGUGGAGAUGCACAUAAAUUAUUACAUUGUCGUUGAAUCUGGAGUCAGUCCAGUGUGAACCCGGAACGCCUGGAGCUGCUCCAGCUGAGUGGCAGGAACAAGGCUGAGAGUCCCAGUAAACACCACAUGAUUUCUGGUAUUUGCAGGGCAUCUGUUUUCCCUGCCCUUGCAGUACCUUUGUCUGGUCUGGAGAAGAUCCUGGGUGACUGGUGAUUUUAUUAUGGCCUGGCACAUUUGAGGGUAAGCCACUCGGCUUGUCAGCAUGCUUCCAGAAGAAAAGCUUCAGUGAAAAAACCUUGCUCUGGGCUUUGAAAUCUGAACUGCAGCCAAUUCCAGCUGAGGGAUGUGACGAUUGCCUUUUACU